This 548-nucleotide ribosomal RNA is filed under the name Escherichia coli. Its description in RNAcentral is "bacterial SSU rRNA". It matches the Rfam family "Bacterial small subunit ribosomal RNA", at positions 1 to 523 of the family's 1533-position model. The record is from RNAcentral. Lineage: Bacteria; Pseudomonadati; Pseudomonadota; Gammaproteobacteria; Enterobacterales; Enterobacteriaceae.
UUAUGAGAGUUUGAUCCUGGCUCAGGACGAACGCUGGCGGCGUGCCUAAUACAUGCAAGUCGAACGCUUUUUCUUUCACCGGAGCUUGCUCCACCGAAAGAAAAAGAGUGGCGAACGGGUGAGUAACACGUGGGUAACCUGCCCAUCAGAAGGGGAUAACACUUGGAAACAGGUGCUAAUACCGUAUAACACUCUUUUCCGCAUGGUUUUGAUUUGAAAGGCGCUUUUGGGUCACUGAUGGAUGGACCCGCGGUGCAUUAGCUAGUUGGUGAGGUAACGGCUCACCAAGGCCACGAUGCAUAGCCGACCUGAGAGGGUGAUCGGCCACAUUGGGACUGAGACACGGCCCAGACUCCUACGGGAGGCAGCAGUAGGGAAUCUUCGGCAAUGGACGAAAGUCUGACCGAGCAACGCCGCGUGAGUGAAGAAGGUUUUCGGAUCGUAAAACUCUGUUGUUAGAGAAGAACAAGGAUGAGAGUAAAAUGUUCAUUCCUUGACGGUAUCUAACCAGAAAGCCACGGCUAACUACGUGCCAGCAGCCGCGGUAA